Molecule: ribosomal RNA, 301 nt
Filed under: uncultured bacterium
Lineage: Bacteria
Description: partial 16S ribosomal RNA
Rfam family: Bacterial small subunit ribosomal RNA
Source: RNAcentral
CAGCCGCCACGGGAAUACGAAGGGGGCUAGCGUUGCUCGGAAUGACUGGGCGUAAAGGGCGCGUAGGCGGUUUGUCGAGUUAGACGUGAAAUUCCCGGGCUUAACCUGGGGACUGCAUUUGAUACUGGCAGGCUUGAGUGUGGAAGAGGGUCGUGGAAUUCCCAGUGUAGAGGUGAAAUUCGUAGAGAUGUGGAGGAACACCAGUGGCGAAGGCGACUCUCUGGUCUGUAACUGACGCUGAGGAGCGAAAGCGUGGGGAGCGAACAGGAUUAGAUACCCCCGUAGUCCCUGUCUCUUAUAC